This 214-nucleotide ribosomal RNA is filed under the name uncultured fungus. Its description in RNAcentral is "partial small subunit ribosomal RNA". The stretch from base 93 to 214 matches the Rfam family "Eukaryotic small subunit ribosomal RNA", at positions 741 to 864 of the family's 1831-position model. Lineage: Eukaryota; Fungi. The record is from RNAcentral.
GGCCUCCGGCUAGUGGUUGCCAUUCGGUCAUACCCUUGUCCGGUGGUCCUCCUCGCGGGGAGGCCGCGGGUCUUCACUGGCUCGCGGAUUCGAACCGUGACGUUUACUUUGAAAAAAUUAGAGUGUUUAAAGCAAGCGUACGCUUGAAUACAUUAGCAUGGAAUAACGGAAUAGGACGCUUGAUUCUAUUUUGUUGGUUUCUAGGAUCAACGUA